Molecule: ribosomal RNA, 158 nt
Filed under: Begonia grandis
Lineage: Eukaryota; Viridiplantae; Streptophyta; Magnoliopsida; Cucurbitales; Begoniaceae
Also listed under: 9 other names
Description: 5.8S ribosomal RNA
Rfam family: 5.8S ribosomal RNA
About the family: 5.8S ribosomal RNA (5.8S rRNA) is a component of the large subunit of the eukaryotic ribosome.
Source: RNAcentral
GACUCUCGACAACGGAUAUCUCGGCUCUCGCAUCGAUGAAGAACGUAGUGAAAUGCGAUACUUGGUGUGAAUUGCAGAAUCCCGUGAACCAUCGAGUUUUUGAACGCAAGUUGCGCCCGAAGCCUUCUGGCCGAGGGCACGUCUGCCUGGGCGUCACG